This 495-nucleotide long non-coding RNA is filed under the name Rattus norvegicus (Norway rat). RNAcentral describes it as "long non-coding RNA NONRATT018920". The record is from RNAcentral. Lineage: Eukaryota; Metazoa; Chordata; Mammalia; Rodentia; Muridae.
UGUGGCAUGAUAAUCACUGAGAAACACUGCUCCAUUCCCUUGCCUGCUGCCAAGGCUAGCCUAAACCUUGGAAAACAGACGAUACCCAGAGAGUUAAAUGUCUCAUACUGCCUAAGUCAAGGAAGCAUACGGACACCCCACCCUGGGGUGUUCAAUGCCUUUCCCCUCGAAAACUGCUUGCUAUGAAAACACCUUCCAGCGAACGGCGAGACAAGUGACGUCCUAAGGUGUGCAAGCGUGCUAUGAAGAAUUGUCCACCCCGGUGUCACCAUGAUGCAUUGGACUGUCAGGCAGACAGGGACUCUCUGCUCUGCCACUUGAAAACUGAGGCAAUGUGUCUGGAUAUCCACACUUACAUGCAAGGUGGAUGGUGCGGGGGAAGGUGUGGGCACAUGUUUGAGUUUUUAAUCUUUUAGUGUAUUAUGUUUAUUGUUAUCAGAUAGUUAUUCAGGACAAUGGGGUUCAUUUGAACAUUUCCAUGUGUUUACAGAAUAC